CCGAGUGCGGGCCCUCAGACGGCCCAACCUCCCACCCUUGUCUCUAUACACCUGUUGCUUUGGCGGGCCCACCGGGGGCCACCUGGUCGCCGGGGGACGUACGUCCCCGGGCCCGCGCCCGCCGAAGCGCGCUGUGAACCCUGAUGAAGAUGGGCUGUCUGAGUACUAUGAAAAUUGUCA
Molecule: unclassified non-coding RNA, 180 nt
Filed under: soil metagenome
Description: partial internal transcribed spacer 1
Source: RNAcentral